CUAUCAUUAACUGAAUCCAUAGGUUAAUGAGGCGAACCGGGGGAACUGAAACAUCUAAGUACCCCGAGGAAAAGAAAUCAACCGAGAUUCCCCCAGUAGCGGCGAGCGAACGGGGAGCAGCCCAGAGCCUGAAUCAGUGUGUGUGUUAGUGGAAGCGUCUGGAAAGGCGCGCGAUACAGGGUGACAGCCCCGUACACAAAAAUGCACAUGCUGUGAGCUCGAUGAGUAGGGCGGGACACGUGGUAUCCUGUCUGAAUAUGGGGGGACCAUCCUCCAAGGCUAAAUACUCCUGACUGACCGAUAGUGAACCAGUACCGUGAGGGAAAGGCGAAAAGAAC
This 338-nucleotide ribosomal RNA is filed under the name Escherichia coli. RNAcentral describes it as "partial 23S ribosomal RNA". It matches the Rfam family "Bacterial large subunit ribosomal RNA", at positions 148 to 524 of the family's 2925-position model. The record is from RNAcentral. Lineage: Bacteria; Pseudomonadati; Pseudomonadota; Gammaproteobacteria; Enterobacterales; Enterobacteriaceae.